GCCAGAUCCGGCCACAUGUCCUCCACAAGGCCUCCCUAGAGUCCAGCCUCAGCCAGGGCAGCAGUCUGCUUUCUCAGGACCAUGAUGGCUCCCCACAGGACACACUGCCAGCUCCCCAUCAAUGUGUCUGACCCCCACGCGGCGCCGCCUGCCUUCCGCUGCCUGAACGGUACCGUGCCUGAGCGCAGCUGGUCUAUAGCACAGACCUGGGAGGGGACAGCACCCGGCCUCAGGGGAAGGCGUCCUCCAUCGCCCAGGCGGGUCCUGCAGACAGCAGCCUCUGGUGCCCAGGCUGAGGACUACAGCACAUGCCUGCAAUCCCAGUGACUCAGGAGGCUGAAGCAGGAGGAUCACAAGUUGGAGGUCAGUCUCAGCAACGUCAUGAGACCCUGUUUGAACCACGUACAGCCAGAGGAAUGAGAAGUUGUGCUCCAUUUAUGUACUAUACGCCAAAAUGCAUUCUACUAUAAAAUUAAUUAAUUAAAAAAUAAAAUAAAAAUGGGGUUGGGGUUGUAGCUCAGUAGAGAGCGCUUGCUGAGCAUGUGUGAGGCACUGGGUUCGACUCUCAGCACCACAUAUAAAUACAUAAAUUAAAUAAAGGUCCAUUAACAACUAAAAAUAAGUAAAUAAAAAUAAAAACUUCUAGGGGUGGA
This is a long non-coding RNA of Marmota monax (woodchuck), 653 nucleotides long. RefSeq lists it as uncharacterized. The transcript has 2 exons. Lineage: Eukaryota; Metazoa; Chordata; Mammalia; Rodentia; Sciuridae. The record is from RefSeq and is a predicted model, not a curated record.